RNAcentral lists this transfer RNA (65 nucleotides) under Megaphragma amalphitanum. Its description in RNAcentral is "tRNA-Pro". Lineage: Eukaryota; Metazoa; Arthropoda; Insecta; Hymenoptera; Trichogrammatidae. The record is from RNAcentral.
CAAAAAAUAGUUUAAUAAAAAUAUUAGUUUUGGAGAUUAAAGAUAUAUAAUAAAUAUUUUUUUGA